ACAUGCAAGUCGAGGGGAAACGAUAUUGGAAGCUUGCUUCCGAUAGGCGUCGACCGGCGGAAGGGUGCGUAACGCGUGAGCGACAUGCCCGUUGCCCGGGGACAACCGGUGGAAACGCCGACUAAUCCCCGAUGGGACGGAGGCCCUCAUGGGUCUCUGUUGAAAGUUACGGCGGCGACGGAUUGGCUCGCGUCCGAUUAGCUAGUUGGCGGGGUAACGGCCCACCAAGGCUACGAUCGGUAGGGGUUCUGAGAGGAAGGUCCCCACAAUGGAACUGAGACACGGUCCAUACUCC
RNAcentral lists this ribosomal RNA (295 nucleotides) under uncultured bacterium. RNAcentral describes it as "partial 16S ribosomal RNA". It matches the Rfam family "Bacterial small subunit ribosomal RNA", at positions 53 to 339 of the family's 1533-position model. The record is from RNAcentral.